ACUCCUACGGGAGGCAGCAGUGGGGAAUAUUGCACAAUGGGCGCAAGCCUGAUGCAGCCAUGCCGCGUGUAUGAAGAAGGCCUUCGGGUUGUAAAGUACUUUCAGCGGGGAGGAAGGGAGUAAAGUUAGUACCUUUGCUCAUUGACGUUACCCGCAGAAGAAGCACCGGCUAACUCCGUGCCAGCAGCCGCGGUAAUA
This 198-nucleotide ribosomal RNA is filed under the name uncultured bacterium. Its description in RNAcentral is "partial 16S ribosomal RNA". It matches the Rfam family "Bacterial small subunit ribosomal RNA", at positions 335 to 525 of the family's 1533-position model. The record is from RNAcentral.